Morone saxatilis (striped sea-bass) is the source of this 848-nucleotide long non-coding RNA. RefSeq lists it as uncharacterized. The transcript has 3 exons. NCBI's taxonomy places the organism in Eukaryota, Metazoa, Chordata, Actinopteri, Moronidae. The record is from RefSeq and is a predicted model, not a curated record.
GACUGUGGCCCUGCAGACUCUGCGUCACCGCUACAAUUUAACUUCUGUCCGUAAUUAGUGAGAAACAGGAUCCGGGCUGCAGGCCAACUCUCACUGAACAUAAAGAAACUCAAAAGCUCCUGAUGUCGCAGAUCUUUUUAAUGGCGUCUGGGCCUCAAACCCUCGCUCCAGCCUCUCUGCAGCCGUGUGCACCUGAUGUGGAAACACAAAGCCUGCUGGGAGUUUUGACACGUGGGGAUCAAGGCGGCAGGCUGAGGCAGCAGGCACUGUUACAUUAUGGGAGUGUUAUGCAAGAGCAGAUGGGCUGUGACUGACUCAUGGAUUUAUGGGCUGUGGGCUUCUUCUGCAAACACAUCCAGGGUACGACCCGAGAGCUGCGGAACAAACACAGGAGUCAGGAGGUGGAUAAAUAAAUAAGUGAAUGAAUGAAUGAAUGAGUAAGUGAAUGAAUGAGUGAUUUUCAGCACCAAUGCUUAGAUGUAUUCCAGCAGAGACUGGAGGGUUGCAGGUAUUAAUCUUCUCCAGAUGUCCUUAAGCAAGGCAUUAAUCCUCUACAAACCCUCCGGGGCACAGCAUUGUGGUUGACCUCUGACCUCUCUGAAGGAACGUAAAUCUCAUUUUUUAGACAAAACUGCCUCCUUCAAAAGAUGAAGGAUCUCUUCUCUUAAUAAACCUAGUUCCCAAACCCAGAGCCUUACACAGACUACAACUAGUGGUGCGUUCAGGUGCUCCUCCUUAAUUUAUAAUUAGCCUCAAUUCUCAAUACUCAAUAAGGAUAGAAAUGUGUCCAUAGCAUCAAAAACCGCCAUGGUUACUUAUUCUCAGGUAGUUCUUGAUUUAAUUCAUAA